This 1075-nucleotide long non-coding RNA is filed under the name Homo sapiens (human). RNAcentral's name for it is "HSALNT0327995". The record is from RNAcentral. Lineage: Eukaryota; Metazoa; Chordata; Mammalia; Primates; Hominidae.
GCGCAACAGCUGCAACGCCAUCCAAUUAUUGCCGAUCCUCCCCUCCAACACUGCUCUCAUCACCUAUAUACUCUUCUCUCUGCCCGUCUCUGCUUCCCCCCCCUUCCCCCCCCCCUUUUCUCCCGGCCGACGGAGCUGAAGGGGCGGGGGUUCCUUCCUUGGAGUGUUUCUAGAGCUCGGAGGCUGCUGGUAGGGGGGCACCACUUUCAGAUAAAAACAUAGACCUGAAUGGCAUCAUCCAGUAUCCAAGGAAACCAUUGUGUCUGUAACCAGCUAAUGAGCUGCAACAGAGCCUGGCCUUCAUUUUCAGCAAAUUAAGUUCAUCCCUCAUAGGAAUUGUGGUCUGGCUGUGGCACCGCUCCUAGGUUCUCUAAACAUGAAUAUGCCUUUGGGGGAAGACAGAAGAACAUGGAAGCCAUGUGAAAAAAACGGAUCCUAAGGCAGUUUUGAACAUCUGGAGGCCUGAUUUAUUGGAGAUUGCAAAUGUACAGUGUAACAUAGCUGUGGAGAGCGAGAAGAUCAGGAUUGUCAAUGCUGUCAUUGCUUUUACUGGAAUCCCCAGCACGAAUUGAAGGUCUCACUUUGCCACCUAGGCUGGAUGCAAUGCAACGGUAUGUUGAUCUUGGUUCACUGCAGCCUCAACCUCCUGAGCUCAUGUGAUCCUCCCACCUCAGUCCCCCACGUCGCUUGGAUUACAGGCCUGUGCCACCACACCUGGCUAACUUUUUUUGUAAUUUUUGUAGAGACAGGGUCUCACUAUGUUUCCCAUGCUGGUCUUUAAUGCCUGAGCUCAAGCCAUCCGCCUGCCUCGGCCUCCCAAAUUGCUGGGAUUACAGGCAUGAGCCACCAUGCCCAGCCUAAUUCUUCUAAAUCUUAUCCUAGUAAUUAAGCCAGAAUUUUUCUCUGCCAAGACCAAUAGAUGGACCAAGAAGUACUCAUCCUUGUAAACUUUCUUUGGAUAAAUUGCUUACAUAUAAUAAAUUCAGAGUUAAGUAAUAAAAAUAAUGAACUACUGUCUUGAAUUAUUUGUUCUCAAAUAAUUUCCCUUAAACCCAUUCACACUCGUAUCAGUUUC